RNAcentral lists this transfer RNA (71 nucleotides) under Pseudocercospora pini-densiflorae CBS 125139. RNAcentral's name for it is "tRNA-Lys (CTT) (tRNA-Lys-CTT-5-1)". Lineage: Eukaryota; Fungi; Ascomycota; Dothideomycetes; Mycosphaerellales; Mycosphaerellaceae. The record is from RNAcentral.
GCAUCCAUGGUGCAGUGGCAUAGCACAUCCUGUCUUCAAGGAAGACCUACGUUCGAUUCGUAGUGGAACCA